Oncorhynchus mykiss (rainbow trout) is the source of this 4087-nucleotide non-coding RNA. The record is from RefSeq and is a predicted model, not a curated record. Lineage: Eukaryota; Metazoa; Chordata; Actinopteri; Salmoniformes; Salmonidae.
AGUCAACUUAGUGUAUGUAAACUUCUGACCCACUGGAAUUGCGAUUCAGUGAAUUAUAAGUGAAAUAAUCUGUCUGUAAACAAUUGUUGGAAAAAUUAUUGUCAUGCACAAAUUAUGUCACGUCUGCUCCUGCGCUUCCUGCUCUUCCCCCCACACCUGGCGCUCGAGGGCUGCCAUGCAUCACGCACUCCUAUCAUCCAUUACGCACACCUGCCUUCCCUUGUCAUGCGCAUCAGCGAUAUUGGACUCACCCGGACUCACUCAUCACCUGUUAUUACCUUGGCUAUAUUUGUCAGUUCCCCUGCUCUGUUCCCCGCUUCUGCAUUGAUUGUUUUUUUUGUCUAUGUUUUCUUGUAUGCUGACGCUGUUCCUGUCUCGUUCCAUGUCCGAUCCUUAUUAAAUGAUUAACUGCUUCGUCUCUCCAGCGUCAACUAAUGUGACAGAAUGCAGAAGACAUUACACGAAGCAUCGGGGAGUACUGGCGCUCUGGUUGGUAUGGUGGCAUCGGCUCUGGGUCGCCACCGAUGGAAUUGGGAGUGCCUAUCCAGCUCGUCGUGAUCUACGCCCUAGCUGGCUCGAGAGAUUUCCUUGCCCCAGUUGGCUCGGAUGGCACCCAGCCCACGUCGGGCCUCAUCCAGAUUAUCAGUUCUUGUUCCUCCAGUCGGUCCAGGAGUUCUUUUGUUUGUUUUUUUGUUUUGUUGGUGACGUCGGGGUGGAUUCCACCGCCGAUUGAACCAGGGGUGCCUAAGCCACCACAUCGGGCUUUCACGCCCUCGCUGGCUUGAGAGGUUUCCUUGCCUCACGAAACCGCUCUCGUUCUUCCUCUUCUAGCCAUGUUCGGGAUGUAUUUGGUAAGUGACAAUAGUUAAGUAAUCAAAUGUGUAGUCCACCUACAGACAGAAAAAGGUUUAGAUAAUGUUUGUGUUUCAGGACCAUCCAACAGUUUGGCCAGGAGUCGAUUCAGCGGACACAACAGCUCGAACUCUCCCUCUGCCAUUUGGUGUACCUGUUUGCUAUCUGGACUAAACACAGAUUGGGUUUUUAUUUGUGUUUCAGGGAAAUUCAGGGAUUCAGCCGGCCGUUCCAGAUGCUCUCCUUCCACAUCUCACUUCGCACACAAAUCAUCCAGGGCUUCUACUAGCCAGUCCCACCUCCAGAGCAGAGAGCACAGAUGUUCUCCAUCUCCAUCCUGUUACUCUAUCAGACAAGAUUCAUCCAGGGCUUCUGCUUGCCAAUCCUAACGGAGCCAAGGGCAUCGCAGCUCUCACCCUCCCUUUCCCUCCGCUAGACCAGAACUGUUUCCCAUGAAUAAUGCCAAAUUUCAGAAGUGUGUCCUAACUAAAUUGGUGGAGAUAUUGAAGGAGGAGGUGAAACGUGUUGGGAGAGCAGAGCCCCAAGACUCUUUAAUUCCAUGUCAAGAGGAUGGAGACAGAGCAAGACGUUGAGCAACUAGGGCAGCAGCUCCAAAGUGCGGAUGCACAGAAUCUGAUGGCUCUUUACCAAUGGUCUGAUGUCCUUCUUCAACUUCAACGGCCAUCACACAAAGUGGGAAUUAGGAAACACAUCUGUGUACUCUGUUGUCAACGGUACCUACAAACAUGUCAUUAUUCUGUAGUAUAUUUUGUAUUAAUAACUGGGUGGUUUGAGCCCUAAAAGCUGAUUGGUUGACAGCCAUGGUAUAUUUAAGCAAUAAUACAUGAGAGCCCAUGUGUUAUAAUCACAUUUUUAUCAUGGCUGUGAGUGCCAUAGCCGUAAAAGCAACGUUUUCUGGGUUUUGUGGUACCGUAAUCAGACAAUACAUGGUUACAGUCUGUAUCCAGUUACGCUGAGUUGCGUUGUGCAUAAGAAAAGCCUUUACUACACCCUCCCAUUGCUUAAAGGGUCGCACAAUCAAAAUGACCUGCUCUGUCUGUUUUAAUAGGCUAGAUUCUUCUAAACAAAUUAUUCAUUUGCAUGGUGGUAAUUUGUGUAGUCCAUCUUUGCGAAGAAUGGUUUUAGGAGCUUGACAAUUUUGAAUGAGGUAAUCACGUGACCUUAAUGGCCUAUUAACCUAUUGACUCCCAAGUUCUAAAAAUGUAUGACGGUCCGCCCAGCGUGACAUUUUCUCUAAUUCUAUUUUUUUUAAAUGUUCCUAUGCUGUAGCCCUAAUAAAUUCUUUACCAUUUUUUUCUUCGUUAGAGCAGACUCUAGUAUGUCAUUAUGCUGGUUUUGUUUAGCUUUCUGGCCUGUUAUCAAUUAGUCAUUAUUACUUAUCUUCAUCACACAGCCUACUAGUCCUGCAUUUAAAUGCAGUCAAGCAUUCUCUUGAAUAAUUAGCCUACAAUGGCCUAAUAAUAACAAUAAAGGCUUUAUAAUUUUUUUCAUUAGUACAGAUCAACUCUCUUGUACACGUAUACUUUAUUUUGUGUUGUUUACACUGUACCAAGCAAUUAGACAAGAAAAAUGUAGUAGCCUACAGCAUUGCAUUGACCAACCCAUUGCAUUGCAUUGCAUUGACCCCCCAAUGUCUGACAUUGCCUUUGUCUCUUGAGCAACCAGUCGGCUUAACAUUCCCCAUUUCAAGUUGAUUUAAAAAAAACUUGGGAUCUCCGCACACUGACAAAUAUAUUAGGCUACAUUGUUCAGAGUUUACCAAUUCAUGUGUUUAUAAUAAGUCUAUUAGGGAGGAGUGAAAGAAACAACUUGCGCCAUUCAAACAGGGCCUUGUCUUUUCUACGUCUUUUCUACACGCAUGCAAGUUUGAGCCCAACCCUGAUCAAUUGUCAGCCCCUGAGGACAAAAUUAUCUUGUAAAUUGCGUUUUGUCUUUGAUGGUGUCAGAGUCGUGUGUAUAGGUGGCAGGGAAGUCAGGCGCAGGAAAAUCAAACUGAGUGUAAUGGAGUUAUUUAAUAACAACAGACGAAAACAUAACUCCAACACUAAAUGUAACAAAUAAAACAAAGUGGGUACGAGGACCCGAUCGCGCACCAAUACAAAACAACACAACACUGAAAUAACAAACAAUCUCUGACAAAGACAUGAGGGGAAACAGAGGGUUAAACACACAACAGGUAAUGAAUGGGAUUGAAACCAGGCGUGUAGGAAGACAAGACAAAACCAAUGGAAAAUGAAAAAUGGAUCAAUGAUGGCUAGAAGACCGGUGACCUCGACCGCUGAGCACCGCCCGAACCAGGAGAGGCUUCGACUUCGGCAGAAGUUGUGACAGAUGGACACAGAAAAGCAAACACAUUUAUCCACUUCUAAAUGAUUCUGAAUUAAUGUAAUACAUUAUCAUUAUUACUGCACAACACAAAAUAGCCACCAUUGGUUAGUGAUAAACCGGUGGUUUGAGCCCUGAAUGCUGAUUUAAGUGCCGUGGGGAACCUGUAAGAUGCUCCAUAUCCAUUAGUCUUUUCUAUAACUUACUGUGUUUAUUUUGGUGUUGCAACUGCAGUCAAGAAUUGGAACAGCCAGGCAACUGACCAUGAUGUUUGGAGAGCUGUGGCAGACCUCAAGCAUGCUCCUGGUAGAGAUGUGGGUGGUGGUUUCCACGUCACCACCACACAGGGCCGUUGCUAACGCAGCAAAAUAUAUCUAUAAUUUUGAUGGAUAAUUAUUCAAUUAAUAUAAUUAAUUAUAUUCAUUUGAACUUAACUGUAUUUUGACUGUUAUCACUGUACUAGAUAGUAUUCUUUGACUGAAUGUUUUGUGCAAAUACUGGAGUAUGUAAUGAGAAGUGUGAUUGUUCAUUUUAAGAAAUUACAGAUCAUUUUUGGUUACUGCGUCCAUGUGUAUAGUCUACAAGUAUAUUGAAAUUAUGUUAUUUGCAAGUCGUUAAAACAACGACCUGAAAAAUAUGUCUUUUCAACUUUCACUUUAAACCAAAACCGAACGUAUAUUAGCCGUCGGGCAUAUUCGUCUUUUCAAUGUAUUUUUAAUGACAGUUUGCUGGGUGGGGUAGGUCAUUUGUUACAUGAAAUAUGUUUUGUGGACUUCACUGGACAGAUGUUGCUCUCUACCUCAAAUACAAAACGAUUGGUUCUACUGAAGAAGACACUUGCCAAUUUUAGCAUACAUAACGAUGGAUAGAGUAAAAAUGAACUUUUCAG